CCUCUACAAAACAAAGCGCUCCUUCGUAUGCCCACUUCCCCUCAAACAAUGGGAGACCUUUUACAGCUGAGAAGAACUCAAAAUCCACUUUUAUUCUUACUUUCACUAAUCCUUUAAAAACACAUCUUACCUCCUCCCCAUAUCCCGUUUCUAUCUUAUAUUUCCUACUCAGAAAAAUUGACAUCUUAGCUUGUCCCCCCAAAAAAUUUAACAGUUGACAUUUUCUUUUCUGUUGCUUACUAUAUUGAAACCCCAAAAUAAAAACAGUGUUAUUGAAAAUCUCCCCUACAGCUUUAAACAAAGACUCCAGCAUUUCCAGAAGGUGACUGUUGACCCAGGGUUUAGAGUGUUCCCUCAGCAGUAGAAGGUGACUGUUGACCCAGGGUUUAGAGUAUUCCCUCAGCAGUAGAAGGUGACUGUUGACCCAGGGUUUAGAGUGUUCCCUCAGCAGUAGGUGACUGUUGACCCAGGGUUUAGAGUGUUCCCUCAGCAGUAGAAGGUGACUGUUGACCCAGGGUUUAGAGUGUUCCCUCAGCAGUAGGUGACUGUUGACCCAGGGUUUAGAGUGUUCCCUCAGCAGUAGGUGACUGUUGACCCAGGGUUUAGAGUAUUCCCUCAGCAGUAGUAGGUGACUGUUGACCCAGGGUUUAGAGUAUUCCCUCAGCAGUAGGUGACUGUUGACCCAGGGUUUAGAGUAUUCCCUCAGCAGUAGAAGGUGACUGUUGACCCAGGGUUUAGAGUAUUCCCUCAGCAGUAGGUGACUGUUGACCCAGGGUUUAGAGUGUUCCCUCAGCAGUAGAAGGUGACUGUUGACCCAGGGUUUAGAGUAUUCCCUCAGCAGUAGAAGGUGACUGUUGACCCAGGGUUUAGAGUGUUCCCUCAGCAGUAGGUGACUGUUGACCCAGGGUUUAGAGUGUUCCCUCAGCAGUAGAAGGUGACUGUUGACCCAGGGUUUAGAGUAUUCCCUCUCAUACACUAUGGCUUUUUUUUAUGUCUCUUGCCCCAUUUACGUUUAAAGAAGAAAUCUUAAAACUGCUCAUGGGUGAUAAAAAAAUACAGAGGAAGACCCAGAAACCACAUCUCUU
This 1085-nucleotide long non-coding RNA is filed under the name Salmo salar (Atlantic salmon). Its description in RNAcentral is "lncRNA (ENSSSAG00000113790.1)". Lineage: Eukaryota; Metazoa; Chordata; Actinopteri; Salmoniformes; Salmonidae. The record is from RNAcentral.